CACGUAGUUAGCCGGGGCUUUCUUCUCCUAUACCGUCACACACCAGGCAGUUACUCCUGAUGCUGUUCGUCUAGGGCAACAGAGCUUUACGAUCCGAAAACCUCAUCACUCACGCGGCGUUGCUCCGUCAGACUUGCGUCCAUUGCGGAAGAUUCCCUACUGCUGCCUCCCGUAGGAGUCUGGGCCGUGUCUCAGUCCCAGUGUGGCCGUUCACCCUCUCAGGUCGGCUACGCAUCGUCGCCUUGGUGAGCCGUUACCUCACCAACUAGCUAAUGCGCCGCAGGCCCAUCUUUAAGCCACAGAUUGCUCCGUGCUUUAUGAUUCUCUCAUGCGAGAAAACCAGUUAUCCGGUCUUAGCUAUCGUUUCCGAUAGUUAUCCCAGUCUUAAAGGCAGGUUACCUACGUGUUACUCACCCGUCCGCCGCUAGCUUGUCCGAAGGACAAGCCCGCUCGACUUGCAUGUAUUAGGCACGCCGCCAGCGUCG
This 485-nucleotide ribosomal RNA is filed under the name uncultured Paenibacillus sp. RNAcentral's name for it is "partial 16S ribosomal RNA". Lineage: Bacteria; Bacillati; Bacillota; Bacilli; Caryophanales; Paenibacillaceae. The record is from RNAcentral.